This 178-nucleotide unclassified non-coding RNA is filed under the name fungal sp. Its description in RNAcentral is "partial internal transcribed spacer region". The stretch from base 1 to 46 matches the Rfam family "Eukaryotic small subunit ribosomal RNA", at positions 1786 to 1831 of the family's 1831-position model. The record is from RNAcentral. Lineage: Eukaryota; Fungi.
AAGUCGUAACAAGGUUUCCGUAGGUGAACCUGCGGAAGGAUCAUUCAUGAACGAGUGCGCGCCUAUCUUUAACAAUGGCCGCAUAUCAUUUUUUUUCUUUUUCUAAACCCGAAAGUCAAAAGGAUGAAUAAAACACAAUAACAAAUAAAAACUUUCAACAACGGAUCUCUUGGCUCUC